RNAcentral lists this ribosomal RNA (253 nucleotides) under uncultured bacterium. Its description in RNAcentral is "partial 16S ribosomal RNA". It matches the Rfam family "Bacterial small subunit ribosomal RNA", at positions 524 to 776 of the family's 1533-position model. The record is from RNAcentral.
UACAGAGGUGGCAAGCGUUGUUCGGAAUUACUGGGCGUAAAGGGCGCGUAGGCGGCCUUCUAAGUCAGACGUGAAAUCCCCCGGCUUAACCUGGGAACUGCGUCUGAUACUGGGAGGCUUGAGUAUGGGAGAGGGAUGUAGAAUUCCAGGUGUAGCGGUGAAAUGCGUAGAUAUGUGGAGGAAUACCGAUGGCGAAGGCAGCCCCCUGGGAUAACACUGACGCUCAUGCACGAAAGCGUGGGGAGCAAACAGG